RNAcentral lists this ribosomal RNA (207 nucleotides) under uncultured bacterium. RNAcentral's name for it is "partial 16S ribosomal RNA". It matches the Rfam family "Bacterial small subunit ribosomal RNA", at positions 568 to 774 of the family's 1533-position model. The record is from RNAcentral.
CAUGUAGGCGGAUUAAUAAGUUUGAAGUGAAAUCCUAUAGCUUAACUAUAGAACUGCUUUGAAAACUGUUAAUCUAGAAUGUGGGAGAGGUAGAUGGAAUUUUUGGUGUAGGGGUAAAAUCCGUAGAGAUCAGAAGGAAUACCGAUUGCGAAGGCGAUCUACUGGAACAUUAUUGACGCUGAGAUGCGAAAGCGUGGGGAGCAAACA